RNAcentral lists this non-coding RNA (870 nucleotides) under Arge aurora. Lineage: Eukaryota; Metazoa; Arthropoda; Insecta; Hymenoptera; Argidae. The record is from RNAcentral.
AAAAAGUUUGAUUUUAGCUUAAAAAUUUAGUUUAUUAUUUUAUAUUAUAUGUAAAUUUUUGUAUUUUAAUUUAAUAAUUUAAAAAAUUAUUAAAUAAAUUAAGUACGCAGUAAUUAAUUUUAAAAAAUUAAAUAAUUUUAGAUUUAGAAAUUUAUAUAAUAAGUAAAAAUAGAAUAAAAUUGUGCCAGCAUUCGCGGUUAUACAAUUUAUUUAAUUAAAUUUAUUUAUUAUUUUAUUAAUAAUUAUAUAUAUAUAUAUAUAUAUAUAUAUAUUAAUUUUAUUAAUUUAAUAAUUUUAUUCUAAGGUGAAAUUUGUAAUUAAAAAAAAAAUUAUUUAAUUUUAUUAAAAUUUAAUAAAUUAUUAAAAUAGACUAGGAUUAGAUACCCUAUUAUUAAUAACAUAAUUAAAAUUAUAUAAUUAUUAUAAAUUAUUAUAUAAAUUAUAAUGGAAUAUUAAUAGUUAAGUUCUUUAAAUUUAAAAAAUUUGGCGGUAUUUUAUCUAAUUAGGGGAACUUGUUUAUUAAACGAUAUUCCGCGAGGAACCUUACUUUUAUUAAAAAUUUAUGUAUUUCCGUUAUAAGAAAAUUUUUAGAGAAUUAUAAAAAUUUUCUUAAUUUUAUUAAUUUAAAAUUAUUUCAGGUCAAAGUGUAGUUUAUAUAAGAGUAUAAAAUGAGUUACAAUAAAAUUUAUUUAUUAUGAAUAUUAAUUUGAAAUAAUUAAUUAAAGGUGGACUUAAUAGUAAAUAUAAAUAGAAUAUUAUAUUGAAUGUAGAUCUAAAAUAUGUACAUAUUGCCCGUCACUCUCAUUUUAAAAUGAGAUAAGUCGUAACAAAGUAGAAUUACUGGAAAGUGUUUCUAGAAAGAUAAUUUUU